AACGAACGCUGGCGGCAGGCCUAACACAUGCAAGUCGAACGAGAAGCCACCUUCGGGUGGUGGACAGUGGCAGACGGGUGAGUAACGCGUGGGAACGUGCCUUUCGGUUCGGAAUAACCCAGGGAAACUUGGGCUAAUACCGGAUACGCCCUUCGGGGGAAAGAUUCAUUGCCGAAAGAUCGGCCCGCGUCGGAUUAGCUAGUUGGUGGGGUAAUGGCCCACCAAGGCGACGAUCCGUAGCUGGUCUGAGAGGAUGACCAGCCACACUGGGACUGAGACACGGCCCAGACUCCUACGGGAGGCAGCAGUGGGGAAUAUUGGACAAUGGGCGCAAGCCUGAUCCAGCCAUGCCGCGUGAGUGAAGAAGGCCCUAGGGUUGUAAAGCUCUUUUGUGCGGGAAGAUAAUGACGGUACCGCAAGAAUAAGCCCCGGCUAACUUCGUGCCAGCAGCCGCCGUAAUAC
Molecule: ribosomal RNA, 462 nt
Filed under: uncultured bacterium
Lineage: Bacteria
Description: bacterial SSU rRNA
Rfam family: Bacterial small subunit ribosomal RNA
Source: RNAcentral